Molecule: ribosomal RNA, 495 nt
Filed under: uncultured bacterium
Lineage: Bacteria
Description: partial 16S ribosomal RNA
Rfam family: Bacterial small subunit ribosomal RNA
Source: RNAcentral
GACGAACGCUGGCGGCGUGCCUAAUACAUGCAAGUCGAACGCUGAAGGAGGAGCUUGCUUCUCUGGAUGAGUUGCGAACGGGUGAGUAACGCGUAGGUAACCUGCCUGGUAGCGGGGGAUAACUAUUGGAAACGAUAGCUAAUACCGCAUAAGAGUAGAUGUUGCAUGACAUUUGCUUAAAAGGUGCAAUUGCAUCACUACCAGAUGGACCUGCGUUGUAUUAGCUAGUUGGUGGGGUAACGGCUCACCAAGGCGACGAUACAUAGCCGACCUGAGAGGGUGAUCGGCCACACUGGGACUGAGACACGGCCCAGACUCCUACGGGAGGCAGCAGUAGGGAAUCUUCGGCAAUGGACGGAAGUCUGACCGAGCAACGCCGCGUGAGUGAAGAAGGUUUUCGGAUCGUAAAGCUCUGUUGUAAGAGAAGAACGGGUGUGAGAGUGGAAAGUUCACACUGUGACGGUAUCUUACCAGAAAGGGACGGCUAACUACGUG